RNAcentral lists this ribosomal RNA (497 nucleotides) under uncultured bacterium. RNAcentral's name for it is "partial 16S ribosomal RNA". It matches the Rfam family "Bacterial small subunit ribosomal RNA", at positions 28 to 507 of the family's 1533-position model. The record is from RNAcentral.
GAUGAACGCUGGCGGCGUGCCUAAUACAUGCAAGUCGAGCGAACAGACGAGGAGCUUGCUCCGCGGACGUUAGCGGCGGACGGGUGAGUAACACGUGGAUAACCUACCUAUAAGACGGGGAUAACUUCGGGAAACCGGAGCAAAUACCGGAUAAUAUAUUGAACCGCAGGGGUGAAUGGUGAAAGACGGUGUUGCGGUCACUUAUAGAGGGAUCCGCGCCGCAUGGGCUAGUUGGUAAGGUAACGGCCUACCAAGGCGACGAUGCGUAGCCGACCUGAGGGGGUGGUCGCCCACCCUGGAGCUGGGCCGGGGUCCAGGCUCCUACGGGAGGCCCCAGUAGGGAAUCUUCCGCAAUGGGCGAGAGCCUGACGGAGCAGCCCCGCGUGAGUGAUGAAGGUCUUCGGUUCGUAAAACCCUGUUAUUAGGGAAGAACAACUGUGUAAGUAACUAUGCACGUCUUGACGGUACCUAAUCAGAAAGCCCCGGCUAACUACGUG